CCCGACGAACAACUUCCAUUAGUGCUCACUUGGACAAGGGUAAGUUGACGCCCUUAUUUCGAUACAUUCCCGUUUCUAUUAUAUUAUGGGAAAUUUCUGGGGUAUAGAUGGGAGUGUGGUGAAUAUUUGUACAAAGUUUCAUGUUAUUUGAACUUCGUUUACUACCCUUUUAAAAUUUGAGAAGUCUACUGCCCGUAUCUGUUGAAACUGUCGUGAGGCAGAUGAUUAAGUUAACUAUUUCAGUAACCAUAUGUUGAUAUUUAGCUCUCAAAUUUUUAUGGUAUAAAUUUAUAUGCGUUAUCUAUCUGCAUAUAAAAUUUGAGGUCAUUCCGGAAACGUUUGCUAUUUUUCAAAGAUCUGGACUUUCAGUUGGCAGAAACUGCCGAAUCUGGUAGGCGAUGGGAAAAUCGCUAUAUCUCUUAAACUACUUGGAGUUUUUCAACACACUUUUUUUUCAAUUAAACUAGACUCAAAGAGGUUUCAAUUGAAAUAAAAUUCGACUCCAUACGAGUUCGGAGUAAAAGCAGUUUAUUAGUUGAAGUUGAAUCUAUACAGUUUUGUUGAGAUGGAAAUGAUUCAAAAUAAUUCCUAUUAAGGAUUUUAAAGUUUUAUUGUUGAUAAAAUAUCACUUUUAGUUUAUAAAUGAGCUAUUGAUGUGUAUAUAUAUAUAUUGGAGAUUGGCAUUAUUAAAUGGGGAAAAGGAAAACGUUUUAUGUUUAUAGAAUUAUUCUUUAUUUAUAAUAGAUAAAUAAAUGAAUAAAAUGGAAUUUCCUACAUCCUCAAAGGUACAUGAAGUAUUUUGAUAAAGGAAGAACGAUUGUAUAUGAGUUAGAUAUAGUCGUUUAAGGAAAUAUGGGUAGUUAGAGAAAUGAGUGAAUAGUGAUUCACUGCAUUUGUUGUUAUCUUUUCUAUUAUUCACUCGAACACAUGUUUUCGUGUUAUCAAAGGUUCAAAUAAACAAAAGCGUCUGAGUAACCUAUCGCGCUAAGGAAAGAGAAUCGUUGUCUUAAGUAGCAAAACACUGCAAUCAGGUUGAGCUGAUGUGAUGAUGGUGCUGCAAUGAGCGGAGUCUCCAGGGUUGUUAAUAAAUAGUUAACCUGUCUAGAAUAUGUCUUCAUACAUAUGUCUAGCUACUUUCCGCUGCAAGAUGUUGUUAAUGUUAUAGUAUGUUAUGUCAUACUUUGAGUCUUAAGAGAAUGGUUUCAUAUGAUGUAUAACUCGAUUAAUGAUAUUAAUUAAGUUUUAUGUUGUCUUUCAUAGACUGUUCAAAAGAGUAUUAAUGAGU
Long non-coding RNA from Salvia miltiorrhiza (redroot sage), 1285 nucleotides. RefSeq lists it as uncharacterized. The transcript has 2 exons. Lineage: Eukaryota; Viridiplantae; Streptophyta; Magnoliopsida; Lamiales; Lamiaceae. The record is from RefSeq and is a predicted model, not a curated record.